Bactrocera dorsalis (oriental fruit fly) is the source of this 354-nucleotide long non-coding RNA. RefSeq lists it as uncharacterized. The record is from RefSeq and is a predicted model, not a curated record. Lineage: Eukaryota; Metazoa; Arthropoda; Insecta; Diptera; Tephritidae. The transcript has 2 exons.
AACAGGAUAUUUUAGCAUAAAUGCGAUGAUAAUUUGUGACAACGAUAUGCAAAUACGUGCCGUUGAUGCGCGGUUCCCGGUUCCAGUCAUGAUGCUUUCAUCUGGGGUAUGAGUCACGCUAAACAAUAUUUCCGUACACAGUAUGAGAGUGGGCAGCGUUCAUUGAGGUUGCUGGGUGAUUGUGGCUACGGAAUUGAACCAUUUCUGUUAACUCCUUACAGAGAUCCACAGUUUAACUCAAAGGAGUAUAAGUUUAACAUAGCACACACGGCUGCACGGAAUAUUGUGGAAAGGACUAUCGGAGUUUUAAAGAGCCGUUUCCGCUGUUUAAUGUCCACAUUACAUUAUCGCCCU